Molecule: long non-coding RNA, 551 nt
Organism: Heterocephalus glaber (naked mole-rat)
Lineage: Eukaryota; Metazoa; Chordata; Mammalia; Rodentia; Bathyergidae
Source: Ensembl
GGUCGGACGGCUUCUGUUACAGGAAGCUUCUGGCUGGGUUUUAAGAGAGGUCUGCCCCCACCCCACCUCACCAUCACCACAACGCCCUGGUCUUUGUCUUCUUUAGUAGGCCAAGGCGGGAAGAUAAAGAGAACAACUGCGCCAUCUGCUGGGCAUCCUGGACAAGCUCAUCUGCGUCCAGAUGCAAAAGCCCAUCAAAGCUUUUCCCGAGAGCCCAGGGUCAGCAGAAACCCAGCCUUACAGACACACUUUUUAGAGCUCUUGACAUUUCCUCAAAGAAAGAACGGUCCUCUGUCUUUGAAGAUUGACAUUCUCUGGCACCAAGCGGGAAUACUGCUAGCAAAUCUUUUCCCUUUCUUAAAGUAGCUGUAAAAAGGAUGAUUAAACCAUAGAAAUGGGAGCAUCACUGAAAAAAAGAAGUUUUGUAAAGAUCAGCAUGGUGCAGUUCAGAGUGUUUAGGAUCUAUCAGUAUCUGGAAUCAGCAGAUACAGGUUCAAAAUCAUUCUGUAAAUGUUCCACCACUGGAAAACUUUCAAAAUAUCAGACAGCCA